CAAACUUUUGAUGGCGACCGGCGCACGGGUGAGUAACACGUAUCCAACCUGCCUCAUACUCGGGGAUAGCCUUUCGAAAGAAAGAUUAAUACCCGAUGUCAUGGUCCUACCGCAUGAUGGGAUUAUUAAAGAAUUUCGGUAUGGGGUGGGGAUGCGUUCCAUUAGUUAGUUGGCGGGGUAACGGCCCACCAAGACAACGAUGGAUAGGGGUUCUGAGAGGAAGGUCCCCCACAUUGGAACUGAGACACGGUCCAAACUCCUACGGAAGGCAGCAG
Molecule: ribosomal RNA, 275 nt
Filed under: uncultured bacterium
Lineage: Bacteria
Description: partial 16S ribosomal RNA
Rfam family: Bacterial small subunit ribosomal RNA
Source: RNAcentral